UACGUAGGGGGCAAGCGUUGUCCGGAUUUAUUGGGCGUAAAGAGCGUGUAGGCGGCCAGGUAGGUCUGCUGUGAAAACUCGAGGCUUAACCUCGAGAUGUCGGCGGAAACCAUCUGGCUAGAGUCCGGAAGAGGAGAGCGGAAUUCCUGGUGUAGCGGUGAAAUGCGCAGAUAUCGGGAGGAACACCGGUGGCGAAGGCGGCGUUCUGGACUGCAACUGACACUGAAAAACGAAAGCCAGGGGAGCAAACGGG
Molecule: ribosomal RNA, 253 nt
Filed under: uncultured bacterium
Lineage: Bacteria
Description: partial 16S ribosomal RNA
Rfam family: Bacterial small subunit ribosomal RNA
Source: RNAcentral